Molecule: ribosomal RNA, 493 nt
Filed under: uncultured bacterium
Lineage: Bacteria
Description: partial 16S ribosomal RNA
Rfam family: Bacterial small subunit ribosomal RNA
Source: RNAcentral
AUUGAACGCUGGCGGCAUGCUUUACACAUGCAAGUCGAACGGUAACAGGUUAAGCUGACGAGUGGCGAACGGGUGAGUAAUGCAUCGGAACGUGCCCGAUCGUGGGGGAUAACGCAGCGAAAGCUGCGCUAAUACCGCAUACGAUCUGAGGAUGAAAGCGGGGGACCGUAAGGCCUCGCGCGAUCGGAGCGGCCGAUGUCAGAUUAGGUAGUUGGUGGGGUAAAGGCUCACCAAGCCAGCGAUCUGUAGCUGGUCUGAGAGGACGACCAGCCACACUGGGACUGAGACACGGCCCAGACUCCUACGGGAGGCAGCAGUGGGGAAUUUUGGACAAUGGGCGCAAGCCUGAUCCAGCAAUGCCGCGUGCAGGAAGAAGGCCUUCGGGUUGUAAACUGCUUUUGUACGGAGCGAAAAGGCUCUCUCUAACACAGGGGGCUCAUGACGGUACCGUAAGAAUAAGCACCGGCUAACUACGUGCCAGCAGCCGCAGUAA